UAGGGAAUCUUCGGCAAUGGGGGCAACCCUGACCGAGCAACGCCGCGUGAGUGAAGAAGGUUUUCGGAUCGUAAAGCUCUGUUGUAAGAGAAGAACGUGUGUGAGAGUGGAAAGUUCACACAGUGACGGUAACUUACCAGAAAGGGACGGCUAACUACGUGCCAGCAGCCGCAGUAAUACGUAGGUCCCGAGCGUUGUCCGGAUUUAUUGGGCGUAAAGCGAGCGCAGGCGGUUUAAUAAGUCUGAAGUUAAAGGCAGUGGCUUAACCAUUGUUCGCUUUGGAAACUGUUAAACUUGAGUGCAGAAGAGGAGAGUGGAAUUCCAUGUGUAGCGGUGAAAUGCGUAGAUAUAUGGAGGAACACCGGUGGCGAAAGCGGCUCUCUGGUCUGUAACUGACGCUGAGGCUCGAAAGCGUGGGGAGCAAACAGG
Molecule: ribosomal RNA, 429 nt
Filed under: bacterium
Lineage: Bacteria
Description: partial 16S ribosomal RNA
Rfam family: Bacterial small subunit ribosomal RNA
Source: RNAcentral